This 792-nucleotide ribosomal RNA is filed under the name Campylobacterales bacterium. RNAcentral describes it as "partial 23S ribosomal RNA". It matches the Rfam family "Bacterial large subunit ribosomal RNA", at positions 2133 to 2925 of the family's 2925-position model. The record is from RNAcentral. Lineage: Bacteria; Pseudomonadati; Campylobacterota; Epsilonproteobacteria; Campylobacterales.
UCUGUGUAGGAUAGGUGGGAGGCAGAGAAGCUGGGGCGCUAGCCUCGGUGGAGCCGCCGGUGAAAUACCACCCUGAGUACAUCUAGACCCUAACCCCACACCGUAAACCGGGUGGGGGACCGUGUCAGGUAGGCAGUUUGACUGGGGCGGUCGCCUCCUAAAGGGUAACGGAGGCGCCCAAAGGUUCCCUCAGGCUGAAUGGAAACCAGCCGAAGAGUGCAAAGGCAUAAGGGAGCUUGACUGUGAGGCCAACAAGCCGAGCAGAGACGAAAGUCGGGCUUAGUGAUCCCACGGUACCGAGUGGAAGGGCCGUGGCUCAACGGAUAAAAGCUACCCCGGGGAUAACAGGCUAGUCUCCCCCAAGAGUUCACAUCGACGGGGAGGCUCGGCACCUCGAUGUCGGCUCAUCGCAUCCUGGGGCUGGACAAGGUCCCAAGGGUCGGGCUGUUCGCCCGUUAAAGCGGUACGCGAGCUGGGUUCAGACCGUCGUGAGACAGGUCGGUCUCUAUCCGCUGUGGGCGUAGGGGACUUGAGAGGAUCUGCUCCUAGUACGAGAGGACCGGAGUGGACAGACCUCUGGUGUGCCAGUUGUCGUGCCAACGGCAUCGCUGGGUAGCCACGUCUGGCAGAGAUAACCGCUGAAAGCAUCUAAGCGGGAAACUCGCCUCAAGAUAAGGUCCCCCAUCCUGUAAAGGGAGUAAGGCCGCAGGAAGACUACCUGCAGAUAGGCGGCAGGUGGAAGCGCAGUAAUGUGUGGAGCUGAGCCGUACUAAUGGCCGAGGGCUUACCGUG